CCUACGGGAGGCAGCAGCAAGGAAUUUUCCCCAAUGGGCGCCAGCCUGAGGGAGCAACGCCGCGUGGGGGAGGACGCGUUUCGGCGUGUAAACCCCUUUUCCGAGGGACGAAGCAAGUGACGGUACCUCGGGAAUCAGGCCCGGCUAACUACGUGCCAGCAGCCGCGGUAAUACGUAGGGGCCAAGCGUUGUCCGGAGUUACUGGGCGUAAAGGGCGCGCAGGCGGUUGGUUACGUCGUGUGUGAAAGCCCCCGGCUCAACCGGGGAGGGUCGCGCGAAACGGGCCGACUGGAGGCAAGGCGAGGGCGGUGGAAUUCCCGGUGUAGUGGUGAAAUGCGUAGAGAUCGGGAGGAACACCAGAGGCGAAGGCGGCCGCCUGGACUUGACCUGACGCUGAGGCGCGAAGGCGUGGGGAGCGAACGGGAUUAGAUACCCGAGUA
Molecule: ribosomal RNA, 440 nt
Filed under: uncultured bacterium
Lineage: Bacteria
Description: bacterial SSU rRNA
Rfam family: Bacterial small subunit ribosomal RNA
Source: RNAcentral